ACAAACAAGUGGCUGGGGCAGAAUUAGAACUCACAUCCUCUGAUUCCCCAAGUUUUUCUGCUGCUAGGUUUUUCUGCAAUGUUUUACCAAAAGAGGGCAGUAUCAUACAGCAACGACACACUUUAAGAGUCAUAGGAUGUCUGCUGACUGCAAAAAUGUUCCGUUCUUCAGCUAUCAUAUCUUUCCUUGGGGUCUCUCGGCGAAGAUACUGAGAAAGCAGAAGUCAGUGGACCAUGGUCUUUGCUCCUUGGCUGGUAAUUGUGGCCUUACUGGUGUUGGGGGGAACAAAUGGAGACUCGGUGAACCAGACAGAAGACCAACUGACCCUCGUUGAAGAGGCAACACUCACUAUCAACUGCACUUACAAAAUCAGCGUUCCACCUACUCUCUUCUGGUACGUUCAAUUUCCCCGGGAAGCCCCUCGGGUUCUCCUGAGAGACACAUCGGAGGAGGAGCAGAAGAAAGCCAGCAAUGGUUUUCAUGCAAAACACGAUAGGACCACCACAUCCUUCCAUCUGAGGAAACAAGCCGUCAACCGGAGAGACUCGGCCGUGUACUACUGUGCUAUGAAGGACACGGUGACAGGAGCUGUAGGGGGAGCUGCACGCAAACCCCUGAUCCAGCAGUGAUGUGGAGUCUGGGCAGAGCAAUUUUUGAAGUGACCAGUGAAUGAGAAAUUCCUU
This is a non-coding RNA of Ornithorhynchus anatinus (platypus), 683 nucleotides long. The record is from the annotation of a RefSeq genome assembly. NCBI's taxonomy places the organism in Eukaryota, Metazoa, Chordata, Mammalia, Monotremata, Ornithorhynchidae.